UUGUAUUUCCAUUUUCUAUAUUGUCAAUGCUAACUUAUUCUUGUUUAUGGACUAUGUCAGAGUCAAUACCGGAAAUACUUAAAUCGCUGCCGUUAUUUGAGGAUAAAGAAAGCAGCAGUGACCACACAAUGUGCUUGGAGAGGAAAAGUUGCACGCAGAGAAUUACGAAAGCUCAAAAUGGCUGCUAAGGAAACUGGGGCCCUUCAGGCUGCCAAAAAUAAGCUGGAAAAGCAAGUUGAAGAAUUGACCUGGCGUCUGCAGCUAGAGAAGCGAAUGAGGGUAUAUUGAGAUGAUUUAUUUGGAGCAAUUCUUGACAACAUUUGUAGUUGAGGCCUUUAGAAUGGAAGAAUGUAUUUCACUAAUUUUUGUAUACAUUUCUUGUUUUGUAUUUAGUGAUAAAGGAAUCUGAAUUAGGCAUAAAUUAUGUUGUAAUAUGAUUUCUUAAGCCUAGACUAGUAGACUAAAUAUUGUAAUUACAUUUGAGUAAUUAAUAAAAAUCUAUUUAUGUUA
This is a long non-coding RNA of Humulus lupulus (European hop), 510 nucleotides long. RefSeq lists it as uncharacterized. The record is from RefSeq and is a predicted model, not a curated record. NCBI's taxonomy places the organism in Eukaryota, Viridiplantae, Streptophyta, Magnoliopsida, Rosales, Cannabaceae. The transcript has 3 exons.